This 508-nucleotide ribosomal RNA is filed under the name uncultured bacterium. Its description in RNAcentral is "bacterial SSU rRNA". It matches the Rfam family "Bacterial small subunit ribosomal RNA", at positions 8 to 518 of the family's 1533-position model. The record is from RNAcentral.
AGAGUUUGAUUAUGGCUCAGGAUGAACGCUGGCGGCGUGCUUAACACAUGCAAGUCGAACGGAGUUUUAACGGAAGUUUCGGAUGGAAGUUUAGAAACUUAGUGGCGGACGGGUGAGUAACGCGUGGGUAACCUGCCUCAUACAGGGGGAUAACAGUUAGAAAUGACUGCUAACACCGCAUAAUAUAGCGAAACCGCAUGAUUUUUGCUAUCAAAUAUUUAUAGGUAUGAGAUGGGCCCGCGUCUGAUUAGCUAGUUGGUGGGGUAAAAGCCUACCAAGGCGACGAUCAGUAGCCGGCUUGAGAGAGUGACCGGCCACAUUGGGACUGAGACACGGCCCAAACUCCUACGGGAGGCAGCAGUGGGGAAUAUUGGACAAUGGGGGAAACCCUGAUCCAGCGACGCCCGCGUGAGUGAAGAAGUAUUUCGGUAUGUAAAGCUCUAUCAGCAGGGAAGAUAAUGACAGUACCUGACUAAGAAGCCCCGGCUAACUACGUGCCAGCAGCAGC